RNAcentral lists this ribosomal RNA (488 nucleotides) under uncultured bacterium. RNAcentral describes it as "partial 16S ribosomal RNA". It matches the Rfam family "Bacterial small subunit ribosomal RNA", at positions 30 to 506 of the family's 1533-position model. The record is from RNAcentral.
UUGAACGCUGGCGGCAGGCCUAACACAUGCAAGUCGAACGGUAACAGGAAGAAGCUUGCUUCUUUGCUGACGAGUGGCGGACGGGUGAGUAAUGUCUGGGAAACUGCCUGAUGGAGGGGGAUAACUACUGGAAACGGUAGCUAAUACCGCAUAACGUCGCAAGACCAAAGAGGGGGACCUUCGGGCCUCUUGCCAUCGGAUGUGCCCAGAUGGGAUUAGCUAGUAGGUGGGGUAACGGCUCACCUAGGCGACGAUCCCUAGCUGGUCUGAGAGGAUGACCAGCCACACUGGAACUGAGACACGGUCCAGACUCCUACGGGAGGCAGCAGUGGGGAAUAUUGCACAAUGGGCGCAAGCCUGAUGCAGCCAUGCCGCGUGUAUGAAGAAGGCCUUCGGGUUGUAAAGUACUUUCAGCGGGGAGGAAGGGAGUAAAGUUAAUACCUUUGCUCAUUGACGUUACCCGCAGAAGAAGCCCCGGCUAACUCCGU